GACGAACGCUGGCGGCGUGCUUAACACAUGCAAGUCGAACGGUGAAGCGCCUUCCUUUUUGGUGGGUGUGGAUGAGUGGCGAACGGGUGAGUAACACGUGAGUAACCUGCCCCCUUCUUCUGGAUAACCGCAUGAAAGUGUGGCUAAUACGGGAUAUUCUGGGUCUGUCGCAUGAUGGGUCUGGGAAAGAUAUUGUUUCGGUGGGGGAUGGGCUCGCGGCCUAUCAGCUUGUUGGUGGGGUGAUGGCCUACCAAGGCGGUGACGGGUAGCCGGCCUGAGAGGGUGGACGGGCACACUGGGACUGAGACACGGCCCAGACUCCGACGGGAGGCAGCAGUGGGGAAUAUUGCACAAUGGGCGCAAGCCUGAUGCAGCGACGCCGCGUGAGGGAUGGAGGCCUUCGGGUUGUGAACCUCUUUCGCCAGUGAAGCAGGCCUGCCUCGUUUGUGGGUGGGUUGACGGUAGCUGGAUAAGAAGCGCCGGCUAACUACGUG
Molecule: ribosomal RNA, 494 nt
Filed under: uncultured bacterium
Lineage: Bacteria
Description: partial 16S ribosomal RNA
Rfam family: Bacterial small subunit ribosomal RNA
Source: RNAcentral